Molecule: transfer RNA, 74 nt
Filed under: Kribbella solani
Lineage: Bacteria; Bacillati; Actinomycetota; Actinomycetes; Propionibacteriales; Kribbellaceae
Also listed under: 22 other names
Rfam family: tRNA
About the family: Transfer RNA (tRNA) molecules are approximately 80 nucleotides in length. Their secondary structure includes four short double-helical elements and three loops (D, anti-codon, and T loops). Further hydrogen bonds mediate the characteristic L-shaped molecular structure. tRNAs have two regions of fundamental functional importance: the anti-codon, which is responsible for specific mRNA codon recognition, and the 3' end, to which the tRNAs corresponding amino acid is attached (by aminoacyl-tRNA synthetases). tRNAs cope with the degeneracy of the genetic code in two manners: having more than one tRNA (with a specific anti-codon) for a particular amino acid; and 'wobble' base-pairing, i.e. permitting non-standard base-pairing at the 3rd anti-codon position.
Source: Rfam by way of RNAcentral
GCCCCCGUAGCUCAGCUGGAUAGAGCGUCGGACUUCUAAUCCGUUGGUCGCAGGUUCGAGUCCUGCCGGGGGCG